UCGAGAAUUUUUCACAAUGGGCGAAAGCCUGAUGGAGCGACGCCGCGUGGGGGAUGAAUGGCUUCGGCCCGUAAACCCCUGUCAUUUGCGAACAAACCUUUUCAUUUAAAAGAUGAAGAGCUGAUUGUAGCGAAAGAGGAAGGGACGGCUAACUCUGUGCCAGCAGCCGCGGUAAUACAGAGGUCCCAAGCGUUGUUCGGAUUCACUGGGCGUAAAGGGUGCGUAGGUGGUUGGGUAAGUCUGAUGUGAAAUCUCCGAGCCUAACUCGGAAACUGCAUCGGAUACUAUUCGGCUAGAGGGUUGGAGGGGGGACUGGAAUUCUCGGUGUAGCAGUGAAAUGCGUAGAUAUCGAGAGGAACACCAGUGGCGAAGGCGAGUCCCUGGACAACUCCUGACACUGAGGCACGAAAGCUAGGGGAGCAAACAGG
This 428-nucleotide ribosomal RNA is filed under the name uncultured bacterium. RNAcentral describes it as "bacterial SSU rRNA". It matches the Rfam family "Bacterial small subunit ribosomal RNA", at positions 355 to 776 of the family's 1533-position model. The record is from RNAcentral.